CAUUAUGUAUCUAAAAUAAGAGAUGGUCUUUUAAACCAUUUAUAGUAUAUAAAUACUUUUAAUGA
This 65-nucleotide transfer RNA is filed under the name Anisocentropus kawamurai. RNAcentral describes it as "tRNA-Lys". Lineage: Eukaryota; Metazoa; Arthropoda; Insecta; Trichoptera; Calamoceratidae. The record is from RNAcentral.